Molecule: microRNA, 23 nt
Filed under: Homo sapiens (human)
Lineage: Eukaryota; Metazoa; Chordata; Mammalia; Primates; Hominidae
Description: hsa-miR-3166
Source: miRBase by way of RNAcentral
CGCAGACAAUGCCUACUGGCCUA